Long non-coding RNA from Myodes glareolus (Bank vole), 1007 nucleotides. RefSeq lists it as uncharacterized. Lineage: Eukaryota; Metazoa; Chordata; Mammalia; Rodentia; Cricetidae. The record is from RefSeq and is a predicted model, not a curated record.
UCGCGUUGAAAGUUAAGCCUUGGCUACCAGAAGGGAAACCCCCCCGAAGUUUGCAUAUACUUACAUGGUCUGAAUUUAACUAUCUGUUUGCCUGCCUCGCUGUACUCUGCCUUCACAGCCCCAGGAAGUGAAGACUACUUCUGCCAUCCUUGGCCUGUGAUGAAGUAAGGCACAGGGAAACAACAGUGCUGAAGUCACCGCAGACAGGAGCUGAACUCAGGCGACCCAUGCAAUCAUGCAACCAUGCAACCAUGCAACCAUGCAAGAGGUUCUUCUUUUUCAUUGUGGAGAGUCACAGUUUUGUACCAGGUGCCCUGGUCAUGUUUGUGACAUUUAUAAUCAAUUCAUCUAAACUCUUUGGCUUUCACUCCCACUACCCAUUCUUCCCCACUCUAGCGUUGAGCAUUGGUUUUCUUUCUCUGUGAAAUGGCUGUUUUGAUAUGUUGUUUAAAUUAAAUCGUAACGCGUGCAAGUUCUCACAAAUCAGUUCUUUCAUCCAGAAGAUGUGUUCAGUCUUCCUCCCUGGCUGCAGCAUCGGUCCUCUUCGUAGACAAACGACAUCCCACAGUAUUUGUCUUCGUUAGGGUUCCUAUACCUGCAACAAAACACCAUGACCAAAAAGCAAGUGUGUGUGUGGGGGGGGUUUAUUUAGCAUAUACUUGCACAUUGCUUCAUCACUGAAGGAAUUCAAGACAGGAACUCAAAUGAUCCUGGAGUCAGGAGCUGAUACAGAGGCCAUGGAAGGUGCUGCUUAUUAGCUUGCUUCCCCUGCCUUGCUCAGGAACCCAGGAUUUCCAGCCCAGGGAUGACACUCCCCCAUUAAUCACUAAUUGAGAAAAUGUCUUACAGCCGGAUCUCAUGGACUCUAGCUUGUGACAGGUUGACUCACAAAACCAGCUAGUACAAUGUUGAUUUGUCAAAUGAACUUCUUCAUUUAUCAGUUUGUGGAUUUUGGUGGGUUGUUUCUACCUUUUGACUAUCAUUGUUAAUAAAGCUGAAAAUAUUUA